This 495-nucleotide ribosomal RNA is filed under the name uncultured bacterium. RNAcentral's name for it is "partial 16S ribosomal RNA". It matches the Rfam family "Bacterial small subunit ribosomal RNA", at positions 28 to 507 of the family's 1533-position model. The record is from RNAcentral.
GACGAACGCUGGCGGCGUGCCUAAUACAUGCAAGUCGAACGCUGAAGGAGGAGCUUGCUCUUCUGGAUGAGUUGCGAACGGGUGAGUAACGCGUAGGUAACCUGCCUGGUAGCGGGGGAUAACUAUUGGAAACGAUAGCUAAUACCGCAUAACAGUAGAUGUUGCAUGACAUUUGCUUAAAAGGUGCAAUUGCAUCACUACCAGAUGGACCUGCGUUGUAUUAGCUAGUUGGUGGGGUAACGGCUCACCAAGGCGGCGAUGCAUAGCCGACCUGAGAGGGGGAUCAGCCACACUGGGAGUGAGACACGGCACAGACUCCUUCGGGAGGGAGCAGGAGGGAAACGUCGGCAAGGGACGGAAGUCUGACCGAGCAACGCCGCGGGAGGGAAGAAGGGUGUCGGAUCGUGAAGCUCGGUUGUAAGAGAAGAAAGAGCGUGAGAGUGGAAAGUUCACACUGUGACGGUAUCUUAUCAGAAAGGGACGGCUAACUACGUG